AUCGCAUGUUGAUCUUCACGUAUGGACCGCUGUUGAUCAGAUUCGGCAAGUAAGCUUCUUUUCGUCCUUGGUAAAAGAUCUCGUCUUACCAGCUUGCGAAAUCAAAACAUGCUAAUGCUCCAUGUUUGUGUAGAAGGCGAGCAAUGGCUCUAGUGUCCGCGAAAACUCCCGUGACAUUACUGCAAGCGGAGAAGGAGCCAAGCAUUGGACGAUCUGCGUGCUUGGGAUUUUGCAGCUCCUCUUCGAGGUACUUCAUGUCAAUCAAUCCAUCCUCAGUCAUUGGAACUUGAAUGACCUGUGGUUUAAACAGUUGACAGAUUGAAAGAAACGAAAAAGCCCAACCUCGGCAAGACUUUGCCUCCAG
RNAcentral lists this long non-coding RNA (364 nucleotides) under Selaginella moellendorffii. Its description in RNAcentral is "long non-coding RNA (SMOE_LNC001328)". Lineage: Eukaryota; Viridiplantae; Streptophyta; Lycopodiopsida; Selaginellales; Selaginellaceae. The record is from RNAcentral.